RNAcentral lists this ribosomal RNA (599 nucleotides) under uncultured fungus. RNAcentral's name for it is "eukaryotic LSU rRNA". The stretch from base 234 to 386 matches the Rfam family "5.8S ribosomal RNA". The record is from RNAcentral. Lineage: Eukaryota; Fungi.
CUUGGUCAUUUAGAGGAAGUAAAAGUCGUAACAAGGUCUCCGUAGGUGAACCUGCGGAGGGAUCAUUACACAAAUAUGAAGGCGGGCUGGAACCUCUCGGGGUUACAGCCUUGCUGAAUUAUUCACCCUUGUCUUUUGCGUACUUCUUGUUUCCUUGGUGGGUUCGCCCACCACUAGGACAAACAUAAACCUUUUGUAAUUGCAAUCAGCGUCAGUAACAAAUUAAUAAUUACAACUUUCAACAACGGAUCUCUUGGUUCUGGCAUCGAUGAAGAACGCAGCGAAAUGCGAUAAGUAGUGUGAAUUGCAGAAUUCAGUGAAUCAUCGAAUCUUUGAACGCACAUUGCGCCCUUUGGUAUUCCAAGGGCAUGCCUGUUCGAGCGUCAUUUGUACCCUCAAGCUUUGCUUGGUGUUGGGCGUCUUGUCUCUAGCUUUGCUGGAGACUCGCCUUAAAGUAAUUGGCAGCCGGCCUACUGGUUUCGGAGCGCAGCACAAGUCGCACUCUCUAUCAGCAAAGGUCUAGCAUCCAUUAAGCCUUUUUUUCAACUUUUGGCCUCGGAUCAGGUAGGGAUACCCGCUGAACUUAAGCAUAUCAAUAA